Juglans regia (Persian walnut) is the source of this 350-nucleotide long non-coding RNA. RefSeq lists it as uncharacterized. Lineage: Eukaryota; Viridiplantae; Streptophyta; Magnoliopsida; Fagales; Juglandaceae. The record is from RefSeq and is a predicted model, not a curated record. The transcript has 3 exons.
CUUGUUUUAAUUUCUUCAUCCCGAAACCCCCACUCCGUAACCUUCAUCUUCUUCAACCGCGAGCACCAAAGAGAUUCCUGCGUCUUCUUCAAUCGCAAGACGCCUUCUCUCUGUCGUGUAGCCGUCAUCUUCCAGCCCAAAAGGAUUUGUGCGUCCCGAACUCUAUCACAAGGUUGCCUUGCCCGUGAAUCCUCGUCCAAAAGGUUGCACAUUUCCUCUACAAACUGAACUUGAAAAUCUCGAUUGGGUUGUGACUAAGUAAGAUUGGCUAGAGAGAGUUGGAACUGAGUUACUCAGAGGAUGAUCAGGAACUGAAGCGAAGGCAGCCAGGUUAUUGGUUGGACUGUGGA